Molecule: transfer RNA, 77 nt
Filed under: Thalassospira lucentensis
Lineage: Bacteria; Pseudomonadati; Pseudomonadota; Alphaproteobacteria; Rhodospirillales; Thalassospiraceae
Also listed under: 6 other names
Description: tRNA-Arg
Rfam family: tRNA
About the family: Transfer RNA (tRNA) molecules are approximately 80 nucleotides in length. Their secondary structure includes four short double-helical elements and three loops (D, anti-codon, and T loops).
Source: RNAcentral
GGUCCCUUAGCUCAACUGGAUAGAGCAACAGACUUCUAAUCUGUAGGUUGCAGGUUCAAGUCCUGCAGGGAUCGCCA